GACGAACGCUGGCGGCGUGCCUAAUACAUGCAAGUCGAACGAACUCUGGUAUUGAUUGGUGCUUGCAUCAUGAUUUACAUUUGAGUGAGUGGCGAACUGGUGAGUAACACGUGGGAAACCUGCCCAGAAGCGGGGGAUAACACCUGGAAACAGAUGCUAAUACCGCAUAACAACUUGGACCGCAUGGUCCGAGUUUGAAAGAUGGCUUCGGCUAUCACUUUUGGAUGGUCCCGCGGCGUAUUAGCUAGAUGGUGAGGUAACGGCUCACCAUGGCAAUGAUACGUAGCCGACCUGAGAGGGUAAUCGGCCACAUUGGGACUGAGACACGGCCCAAACUCCUACGGGAGGCAGCAGUAGGGAAUCUUCCACAAUGGACGAAAGUCUGAUGGAGCAACGCCGCGUGAGUGAAGAAGGGUUUCGGCUCGUAAAACUCUGUUGUUAAAGAAGAACAUAUCUGAGAGUAACUGUUCAGGUAUUGACGGUAUUUAACCAGAAAGCCACGGCUAACUACGUGCCAGCAGCCGCGGUAAUACGUAGGUGGCAAGCGUUGUCCGGAUUUAUUGGGCGUAAAGCGAGCGCAGGCGGUUUUUUAAGUCUGAUGUGAAAGCCUUCGGCUCAACCGAAGAAGUGCAUCGGAAACUGGGAAACUUGAGUGCAGAAGAGGACAGUGGAACUCCAUGUGUAGCGGUGAAAUGCGUAGAUAUAUGGAAGAACACCAGUGGCGAAGGCGGCUGUCUGGUCUGUAACUGACGCUGAGGCUCGAAAGUAUGGGUAGCAAACAGGAUUAGAUACCCUGGUAGUCCAUACCGUAAACGAUGAAUGCUAAGUGUUGGAGGGUUUCCGCCCUUCAGUGCUGCAGCUAACGCAUUACGCAUUCCGCCUGGGGAGUACGGCCGCAAGGCUGAAACUCAAAGGAAUUGACGGGGGCCCGCACAAGCGGUGGAGCAUGUGGUUUAAUUCGAAGCUACGCGAAGAACCUUACCAGGUCUUGACAUACUAUGCAAAUCUAAGAGAUUAGACGUUCCCUUCGGGGACAUGGAUACAGGUGGUGCAUGGUUGUCGUCAGCUCGUGUCGUGAGAUGUUGGGUUAAGUCCCGCAACGAGCGCAACCCUUAUUAUCAGUUGCCAGCAUUAAGUUGGGCACUCUGGUGAGACUGCCGGUGACAAACCGGAGGAAGGUGGGGAUGACGUCAAAUCAUCAUGCCCCUUAUGACCUGGGCUACACACGUGCUACAAUGGAUGGUACAACGAGUUGCGAACUCGCGAGAGUAAGCUAAUCUCUUAAAGCCAUUCUCAGUUCGGAUUGUAGGCUGCAACUCGCCUACAUGAAGUCGGAAUCGCUAGUAAUCGCGGAUCAGCAUGCCGCGGUGAAUACGUUCCCGGGCCUUGUACACACCGCCCGUCACACCAUGAGAGUUUGUAACACCCAAAGUCGGUGGGGUAACCUUUUAGGAACCAGCCGCCUAAGGUGGGACAGAUGAUUAGGGUG
This 1489-nucleotide ribosomal RNA is filed under the name Lactiplantibacillus plantarum. RNAcentral's name for it is "bacterial SSU rRNA". It matches the Rfam family "Bacterial small subunit ribosomal RNA". Lineage: Bacteria; Bacillati; Bacillota; Bacilli; Lactobacillales; Lactobacillaceae. The record is from RNAcentral.